AUGGUGAUACCAUGUUGAUUGACGGACAGCUUCCCUCUCACAGAAGAGCAAAGCUGGCAACUGCCUGUGGGUGGGCCUAAAGAAAGAUGUGUUCUGCCUCCCCUUGUAAGAAUUUCAGUUUAGAAACCUGAAAUACUGUUUGAAACACAAGUCUCCAGAUGAUAAUUACAGGCUUUGAGCAGAGGAAAGAGUAGUGAAGAAAUCCAGAGCUCUGUAAACAUUUCUGAAGAACGGUGUCAAAUGUAUGCAGAAGUUCAGAUGGCUCCCAAUCCAGCAAAGGGAUAUUUCUUUGCUCAUGAAUGACAGUAUUCCCUGGCAUUCCAGUUCAAUAAUAUCUGC
This 339-nucleotide long non-coding RNA is filed under the name Chinchilla lanigera (long-tailed chinchilla). Its description in RNAcentral is "lncRNA (ENSCLAG00000023387.1)". Lineage: Eukaryota; Metazoa; Chordata; Mammalia; Rodentia; Chinchillidae. The record is from RNAcentral.